RNAcentral lists this ribosomal RNA (430 nucleotides) under uncultured bacterium. Its description in RNAcentral is "bacterial SSU rRNA". It matches the Rfam family "Bacterial small subunit ribosomal RNA", at positions 354 to 776 of the family's 1533-position model. The record is from RNAcentral.
GUGGGGAAUAUUGCACAAUGGGCGAAAGCCUGAUGCAGCCAUGCCGCGUGUGUGAAGAAGGCUUUCGGGUUGUAAAGCACUUUCAGCGAGGAGGAAAGGUUGAUACUUAAUACGUAUCGGCUGUGACGUUACUCGCAGAAGAAGCACCGGCUAACUCCGUGCCAGCAGCCGCGGUAAUACGGAGGGUGCAAGCGUUAAUCGGAAUUACUGGGCGUAAAGCGCGCGUAGGUGGUUUGUUAAGCUAGAUGUGAAAGCCCUGGGCUCAACCUGGGAACUGCAUUUAGAACUGGCAGGCUAGAGUACAGCAGAGGAUAGUGGAAUUUCUAGUGUAGCGGUGAAAUGCGUAGAUAUUAGAAGGAACACCAGUGGCGAAGGCGACUGUCUGGGCUGAUACUGACACUGAGGUGCGAAAGCGUGGGGAGCAAACAGG